UAGAUGAAUUUGGUGCUUGCACCCAAAUGAAACUAGAUACAAGCGAGCGGCGGACGGGUGAGUAACACGUGGGUAACCUGCCCAAGAGACUGGGAUAACACCUGGAAACAGAUGCUAAUACCGGAUAACAACACUAGACGCAUGUCUAGAGUUUAAAAGAUGGUUCUGCUAUCACUCUUGGAUGGACCUGCGGUGCAUUAGCUAGUUGGUAAGGUAACGGCUUACCAAGGCAAUGAUGCAUAGCCGAGUUGAGAGACUGAUCGGCCACAUUGGGACUGAGACACGGCCCAAACUCCUACGGGAGGCAGCAGUAGGGAAUCUUCCACAAUGGACGCAAGUCUGAUGGAGCAACGCCGCGUGAGUGAAGAAGGGUUUCGGCUCGUAAAGCUCUGUUGGUAGUGAAGAAAGAUAGAGGUAGUAACUGGCCUUUAUUUGACGGUAAUUACUUAGAAAGUCACGGCUAACUACGUGCCAGCAGCCGCGGUAAUACGUAGGUGGCAAGCGUUGUCCGG
RNAcentral lists this ribosomal RNA (512 nucleotides) under uncultured Bacilli bacterium. RNAcentral describes it as "bacterial SSU rRNA". It matches the Rfam family "Bacterial small subunit ribosomal RNA", at positions 64 to 548 of the family's 1533-position model. Lineage: Bacteria; Bacillati; Bacillota; Bacilli. The record is from RNAcentral.